GCAUUUAAUUGGGCUGAAUUAAAAUUCGUCCUUUUCAAGAAAAAAGUGGCCCUCUCAAGUUCUCAGUCCCCCGAUGAUCUAGGCUGUCCCGUCGAUUGUCUAAUGAACUCCUGAUGAGUUGUAGAUGAAAGGGAUUAAAAUAACGCUACCCAGAACUCACUUUGGUCUCCUCAUUAUCUGGACUAAGGAAGUCUAGGAUAAUUACAGGGUUACUUUAAAAAAAAAGUUUCAUCAUUGUACUUCCUGUCUGGAGAGUAAAUAACAAAGCACUUACAGUCUGUCAGAGACCUAUUAAAACCCACGACACCUCUGCAAGCAAAUAACUUGGAGAACUCAAGAAUUCUCCCCCCCCGACAGGACACGGAAAUGCCAGCCUUAAACGAGCAACAACUCCUUGCCAUGGUGCGACAGUCCUAGCCCUGUUGCAACUGGGCGACUCAUCAAUUCGCGGAGAGAAGCAUCAUCAGGGUACACACGGAUCUGUUAUUACCCAUUAUACAUAUGACGCGAAGGUCACAUAUCAGGCAAUUACACCUUUUCAUUACAUGCUAACCCCUCACGGCAGGGAAGCCACGCUUAUGACUGCAUUAGACAGACAAAGCCUUCAGCUCUUAAAAAAAUAAAAAAUAAAAAAAUAAAGGAAAAGCAAAAAAAAAAAAAAAAGGAUAAAAAAAAAUAAAUAUGUUUUCUUACCAGCACGUUACAGCACCAACUCGGUUACAGGAAUGUUGCCUUUACAGGUUUCUCUUUUAAUGAUCCUGGAAGCAGGGAGACAAAAAAAAAAAAAAAAAAAAAAAAAAAAAGCAAAGAAGAAGCAGGGUGGUUAAAUUAGCGUGCUGGAAUCUUUUCAGUUUGUCGCAGAGUAGAAAAAUAAAAAAGGGGGAAAAAAGGCUCAGUAAUUUAAAUUUGCUCUCAGUUCAGGCUGCGUGGUUGGGUCCCGCCCCUGCCUCCCGCUGGGUUCUACUACCUGCAAGGCUGGAAUUGACAGCUACUGUGCAAACAAAAAAGGCAACAAGCAUGCUGGGACCAUUCUGUCUGCUGUUUGGGUCUCACUUGUCCUGACAACUAAAAAUCAUCAGUGGAAAGAUGAGGCUAUUAUGGGCUACUUUGCUAUGAAGCUACUACAAGCCUGCCUGGAGUAUGGAUUAUCUGCAGGUUUGCUUCUUGAUCCGAAUCAUAGCUUCUAUAAUGAAUCACAGACACACCUCUUGUCUGGUUUUGCAAGGGCUUUAAGGAAUGCAUCAUGAACCAGAAGAGUGGCUGACCCCAUCCCAGUACUUCUCAAUCCGCCACUCCCACACCGACUGCAUCUCUGGG
RNAcentral lists this long non-coding RNA (1317 nucleotides) under Sus scrofa (pig). RNAcentral's name for it is "lncRNA (ENSSSCG00030049376.1)". The record is from RNAcentral. Lineage: Eukaryota; Metazoa; Chordata; Mammalia; Artiodactyla; Suidae.